CGGGUUAGUGGUGCUGCCAACGCAGCUUGGCGCUGCAAACGCCGAGAUCGACUCGUUGCAUCGAGUAGGUCAGGGGUUCGAUUCCCCUUAGCUCCACCA
Molecule: transfer RNA, 99 nt
Filed under: Mycolicibacterium pulveris
Lineage: Bacteria; Bacillati; Actinomycetota; Actinomycetes; Mycobacteriales; Mycobacteriaceae
Description: tRNA-Cys
Source: RNAcentral